Molecule: ribosomal RNA, 572 nt
Filed under: uncultured bacterium
Lineage: Bacteria
Description: partial 16S ribosomal RNA
Rfam family: Bacterial small subunit ribosomal RNA
Source: RNAcentral
UGGGGAAUUUUGGACAAUGGGCGCAAGCCUGAUCCAGCCAUGCCGCGUGCGGGAAGAAGGCCUUCGGGUUGUAAACCGCUUUUGUCAGGGAAGAAAUCUUCUGAGUUAAUACCUCGGGAGGAUGACGGUACCUGAAGAAUAAGCACCGGCUAACUACGUGCCAGCAGCCGCGGUAAUACGUAGGGUGCAAGCGUUAAUCGGAAUUACUGGGCGUAAAGCGUGCGCAGGCGGUUUUGUAAGACAGAGGUGAAAUCCCCGGGCUCAACCUGGGAACUGCCUCUGUGACUGCAAGGCUUGAGUGCGGCAGAGGGGGGAUGGAAUUCCGCGUGUAGCAGUGAAAUGCGUAGAUAUGCGGAGGAACACCGAUGGCGAAGGCAAUCCCCUGGGCCUGCACUGACGCUCAUGCACGAAAGCGUGGGGAGCAAACAGGAUUAGAUACCCUGGUAGUCCACGCCCUAAACGAUGUCAACUGGUUGUUGGGAAGGUUCCUUCUCAGUAACGUAGCUAACGCGUGAAGUUGACCGCCUGGGGAGUACGGCCGCAAGGUUGAAACUCAAAUGAAUUGACGGGGU